CCUGUUCCUGACCACAGCUCUCAUCCCACGGGCUGGCUGCAGGAAGGAAAACAACCGGAGCUUCCCAGAGGAGCUGUUUGCAGACAAUGCCGCAGAGCCGCUUCCCCGCACCGCUCCCUGUACCGAGCGAAUGUAAGGGCAGCCUCAAGCCAGAGGGCUGGGAUAAAAGUUGGAUUUCUCGCUGUCCAGAGAAUGCUGCAGCUGCACACUGGCACGGACUUUGCUCCUCUGGGCUGGGAUUUCUAAGCAGCGGGAGGCUUUCCACGUGUGUUUGAGAAGGUACAAAGCCUGCCGGAAAACAAUGGAAAUAGCUGCCUUAUGACUGCUGCGUGUCACGCACUCGGUUCUUGCCCGCUCGUUUGUCCUUGGAGCUGCUCGCGCCGCCUGGAACCUGAUCCCGAGCGGUGCCGGGCGCCGGGGCUGGCACGAACACCGGCACGGUGCCACGGGCACAGACACGGCCGUGCUCCGGCCCGGCCGCGGCUCGAGGCCUCGGGCAGCGCUGACCGACCCCCUCAGCCCCCGGAGCCACCGCGGAUGUGUGGAGCGGGCGGUGGGCUCCGUGAGGAGUGGGGGCUUCCUGCCGGGAGGAAACAGCUGCUUCAGAGCCGAGUGCUUCUCCUGUGCUCUGCUUCCCUCGGAGUUCUGGCCUGGGAGCAUCCCUGCUGGCUCAGCACGGCUCUGCCAGGUUCUCCACACCUCCAGGACAGGAUCUCCCCCGAUCCCCUCGGACAGGCUCCCUCUGUGCAACCCUCCCACAGACCUCAAAGACAGAUCUCCUUUAUUUCCCCUAAGAUAGCCUCCCCUCAGCGCCCCAGUACUGGAUCUUCUCAUCCACAGGCUCCCCUUUGUCCAAUCUCUUUCAGGUCCCCAAGCACAGGCUCGCCUCCAUCUCCACAGGACUGGAUCCCCUCCAGGACAGGCUCCUCUCAGCGCCGCCAAUACCUGGAUCCCCUCAGACCCCCCAAACACGGGAUCCCCAAGACCGGAUCCCUUCAGCUCCCUCUGGCCAAGCCCCCUCCAGCCCCUCCUCAGCGGGCGCAGCCAGGGUGGGGAGGGCCGGGAUGCAGCAGCCUCCAUUCCCCCGUCCAUCCCUCCCUCCCUCCCUGCCUGCCUGCUGCGUGCUGCAGCCCGCCUUCCCCCCGGCCUGCCGCGCUCCCCCCGCUCGCCGCCCGCGGUGAUCCGCGCUGAGCUCACGGCCGCGCCUCACGACACCCCGGCUCGGCACGUCAGCCCCGCCAUCGCGUGAGAGCCGCCGCCCGCCGCCGCCCCCCCGCCCGCCGCCAUCACGCACGGCGGGAACAGCUGCCGGCACGGCGCGGCCAGACCCCGCUCCCAGACCCCGCUCCCAGCCAAGGCGGGCUCUCGCCAGCUCCUAUUAAUGCAAGAUCUUAAUUAAUGACCCCCGCGGGGGGCGAGCCGCCCUUCACACGCAACACGCACUCCCCCCCGUUCGCCCGCGCCCGGCGUGGAAGCACGAAGAGGUUAAAAUGGAGGCGGGGGCGUGAGGCGGCUGCCAAGGCGGGAUUAGCGCGGCUCGGAGCUCGGCACGCAACGCGGGACGGGGCACGGCGGCCACACGCGAGGGACCCGCGGUGACGCGCGUGGCACCGCCGUGCAGAGCUGAGGGGGAACGCAGGGCGCCGGGAGCCCGAACCAGCGCACAGUGCCCUCCGUCUCCCCCCCGGUUUAGCAUCCCUCUGUUGAGACAGCACUUACUCACCCUUUCUUCCUUUUCCCCCCCUUACUGAUGCAAUUUUCCUUUUUUUCCCAAUAAAGCUUUUAUUUCUGUCCCCUAAAAUUCACCGCUUUCUUCAA
Long non-coding RNA from Zonotrichia leucophrys gambelii, 1818 nucleotides. RefSeq lists it as uncharacterized. The record is from RefSeq and is a predicted model, not a curated record. Lineage: Eukaryota; Metazoa; Chordata; Aves; Passeriformes; Passerellidae. The transcript is spliced from 3 exons.